GCUAAACGCGAAGAACCUUACCCAGGCUUGACAUCCCUGGAAGGUCUCCGAAAGGAGACUGUGCCUUCGGGAAUCAGGUGACAGGUGCUGCAUGGCCGUCGUCAGCUCGUGUCGUGAGAUGUUUGGUUAAGUCCAUUAACGAGCGCAACCCUUGUAAGUAGUUGAAUUUUUCUACUUAGACCGCCUCGGUAACGGGGAGGAAGGAGGGGAUGAUGUCAGGUCAGUAUUGCCCUUACGCCUGGGGCUACAAACACGCUACAAUGGCCGGUACAAAGGGCAGCCAACCCGCGAGGGGAGCAAAUCCCAUCAAAACCGGUCCCAGUUCGGAUAGCAGGCUGAAAUUCGCCUGCUUGAAGUCGGAAUCGCUAGUAACGGUGAGUCAGCUAUAUUACCGUGAAUACGUUCCCGGGUCUUGUACACACCG
RNAcentral lists this ribosomal RNA (424 nucleotides) under uncultured bacterium. Its description in RNAcentral is "bacterial SSU rRNA". It matches the Rfam family "Bacterial small subunit ribosomal RNA", at positions 954 to 1392 of the family's 1533-position model. The record is from RNAcentral.